GUAGUCUCGCACAGAUGCAUAUCAAUAAGCGGAGGAAAAGAAACUAACAAGGAUUCCCCUAGUAACGGCGAGUGAAGCGGGAAGAGCUCAAAUUUGAAAUCUUAAAGGGUUUACCCUUGACGAAUUGUAGUUUAAAGAAGUGUUUUCUGUUGAAGUUUUGGUAAAAGUUCUUUGGAAUAGGACAUCAUAGAGGGUGAGAAUCCCGUAUUUGACCAUUAUUUUCAGCUGUGUGAUACACUUUCAAAGAGUCGGAUUGUUUGGGAAUGCAGUCCAAAAUGGGUGGUAAAUUUCAUCUAAAGCUAAAUAUUGGCGAGAGACCGAUAGCGAACAAGUACCGUGAGGGAAAGAUGAAAAGAACUUUGAAAAGAGAGUUAAACAGUACGUGAAAUUGUCAAAAGGGAAGCGUUUGACACCAGUGUUGUUUUCUCGAAAAUCAAUUAAAAAGAGUUAGAUUUUGUUGUGUAUUGACCUUAACAGCUUGCAUUUCAAUUUUCUUGCUUUUUUUAAUGCACUUUUCGUUUAACAAGUCAACAUCAGUUUCUUUUGUUGUAAAAAGGUCAUUGGAAGGUGGCUUUCUUUUCGGAGAAAGUGUUUAUAGCCUUUGACUCCUGCAAUCGGAGAGACUGAGGUCUGCAGCGUAGAUCCUUCGGGGUUAGAUACAUUUGUGCUAAGUUCAUAGCUUUUUAUAGACAACUUGUUGACUAUGAUUAGUCUUGUAGCUUACUCGCUUAUGCUAUUUUACCUACGCUUAGGAUGUUGAGCGCAUGUCUCUCUCU
This 776-nucleotide ribosomal RNA is filed under the name uncultured Neocallimastigales. RNAcentral describes it as "partial large subunit ribosomal RNA". It matches the Rfam family "Eukaryotic large subunit ribosomal RNA", at positions 24 to 616 of the family's 3401-position model. Lineage: Eukaryota; Fungi; Neocallimastigomycota; Neocallimastigomycetes; Neocallimastigales. The record is from RNAcentral.